Gossypium arboreum is the source of this 119-nucleotide non-coding RNA. The record is from Rfam. NCBI's taxonomy places the organism in Eukaryota, Viridiplantae, Streptophyta, Magnoliopsida, Malvales, Malvaceae.
GGGCGAGAUCGCACUAGCACUAAUGCAACGGAUCCCAUCGGAACUCCGCAGUUAAGCGUACUUGGGAGAGAGUAGUACUAGGAUGGGUGACCUAUUGGGAAAUUCUCGUGUUGCAGCCC